AUUCUUACCCGGCAGGGAAGAUAAUAUGAUCACGAAGGUGGUUUUCCCAGGGUGAGGUUCAUCCAUUGCACUCUGGAUGUGCUGACCCAUGAUUUUCCCGAAAGUGGGAAACUCGACUGCGUAAUUUGUGGUAGUGGGGGACUGCAUUCUUCAUGCUUUCCCCUA
Small nuclear RNA from Cercocebus atys (sooty mangabey), 165 nucleotides. Its record names the gene U1. It matches the Rfam family "U1 spliceosomal RNA". Rfam says of the family: U1 is a small nuclear RNA (snRNA) component of the spliceosome (involved in pre-mRNA splicing). Its 5' end forms complementary base pairs with the 5' splice junction, thus defining the 5' donor site of an intron. There are significant differences in sequence and secondary structure between metazoan and yeast U1 snRNAs, the latter being much longer (568 nucleotides as compared to 164 nucleotides in human). The record is from Ensembl. Lineage: Eukaryota; Metazoa; Chordata; Mammalia; Primates; Cercopithecidae.